Molecule: ribosomal RNA, 1415 nt
Filed under: bacterium NLAE-zl-P720
Lineage: Bacteria
Description: bacterial SSU rRNA
Rfam family: Bacterial small subunit ribosomal RNA
Source: RNAcentral
GGCUUACCAUGCAGGUCGAGGGGCAGCAUUUCAGUUUGCUUGCAAACUGGAGAUGGCGACCGGCGCACGGGUGAGUAACACGUAUCCAACCUGCCGAUAACUCGGGGAUAGCCUUUCGAAAGAAAGAUUAAUACCCGAUGGNAUAAUCAGACCGCAUGGUCUUAUUAUUAAAGAAUUUCGGUUAUCGAUGGGGAUGCGUUCCAUUAGGCAGUUGGUGAGGUAACGGCUCACCAAACCUUCGAUGGAUAGGGGUUCUGAGAGGAAGGUCCCCCACAUUGGAACUGAGACACGGUCCAAACUCCUACGGGAGGCAGCAGUGAGGAAUAUUGGUCAAUGGGCGCAGGCCUGAACCAGCCAAGUAGCGUGAAGGAUGACUGCCCUAUGGGUUGUAAACUUCUUUUAUAUGGGAAUAAAGUUUUCCACGUGUGGAAUUUUGUAUGUACCAUAUGAAUAAAGGAUCGGCUAACUCCGUGCCAGCAGCCGCGGUAAUACGGAGGAUCCCGAGCGUUAUCCGGAUUUAUUGGGUUUAAAGGGAGCGUAGGUGGACAGUUAAGUCAGUUGUGAAAGUUUGCGGCUCAACCGUAAAAUUGCAGUUGAUACUGGCUGUCUUGAGUACAGUAGAGGUGGGCGGAAUUCGUGGUGUAGCGGUGAAAUGCUUAGAUAUCACGAAGAACUCCGAUUGCGAAGGCAGCUCACUGGACUGCAACUGACACUGAUGCUCGAAAGUGUGGGUAUCAAACAGGAUUAGAUACCCUGGUAGUCCACACAGUAAACGAUGAAUACUCGCUGUUUGCGAUAUACAGUAAGCGGCCAAGCGAAAGCAUUAAGUAUUCCACCUGGGGAGUACGCCGGCAACGGUGAAACUCAAAGGAAUUGACGGGGGCCCGCACAAGCGGAGGAACAUGUGGUUUAAUUCGAUGAUACGCGAGGAACCUUACCCGGGCUUAAAUUGCAUUUGAAUAAUCUGGAAACAGGUUAGCCGCAAGGCAAAUGUGAAGGUGCUGCAUGGUUGUCGUCAGCUCGUGCCGUGAGGUGUCGGCUUAAGUGCCAUAACGAGCGCAACCCUUAUCUUUAGUUACUAACAGGUCAUGCUGAGGACUCUAGAGAGACUGCCGUCGUAAGAUGUGAGGAAGGUGGGGAUGACGUCAAAUCAGCACGGCCCUUACGUCCGGGGCUACACACGUGUUACAAUGGGGGGUACAGAAGGCAGCUACCUGGUGACAGGAUGCUAAUCCCAAAAGCCUCUCUCAGUUCGGAUCGAAGUCUGCAACCCGACUUCGUGAAGCUGGAUUCGCUAGUAAUCGCGCAUCAGCCAUGGCGCGGUGAAUACGUUCCCGGGCCUUGUACACACCGCCCGUCAAGCCAUGAAAGCCGGGGGUACCUGAAGUACGAACCGCAAGGAGCUCCUAGGAAAC